Molecule: ribosomal RNA, 465 nt
Filed under: uncultured bacterium
Lineage: Bacteria
Description: partial 16S ribosomal RNA
Rfam family: Bacterial small subunit ribosomal RNA
Source: RNAcentral
ACGAACGCUGGCGGCGUGCUUAACACAUGCAAGUCGAACGGAAAGGCCCUGCUUUUGUGGGGUGCUCGAGUGGCGAACGGGUGAGUAACACGUGAGUAACCUGCCCUUGACUUUGGGAUAACUUCAGGAAACUGGGGCUAAUACCGGAUAGGAGCUCCUGCUGCAUGGUGGGGGUUGGAAAGUUUCGGCGGUUGGGGAUGGACUCGCGGCUUAUCAGCUUGUUGGUGGGGUAGUGGCUUACCAAGGCUUUGACGGGUAGCCGGCCUGAGAGGGUGACCGGCCACAUUGGGACUGGGAUACGGUCCAGACUCCUACGGGAGGAAGCAGUGGGGAAUAUUGCACAAUGGGCGGAAGCCUGAUGCAGCAACGCCGCGUGCGGGAUGACGGCCUUCGGGUUGUAAACCGCUUUCGCCUGUGACGAAGCGUGAGUGACGGUAAUGGGUAAAGAAGCACCGGCUAACUACG